Hemibagrus wyckioides is the source of this 270-nucleotide long non-coding RNA. RefSeq lists it as uncharacterized. The record is from RefSeq and is a predicted model, not a curated record. Lineage: Eukaryota; Metazoa; Chordata; Actinopteri; Siluriformes; Bagridae. The transcript has 3 exons.
CCAAAAGCCAGAGAGAUGGAGGUGACAUUAUCUUCCCUGACUUGGCUAAGCUGAACUUGAGCCAUAUGCUAAAUCCCUGAUUUAACUCAGAAGAUAUUGGUGACGUAAGAGCAAUGCAAUGACGUUCAACACUAUUUCCACAUCAGAAGUGGGCUUUGAUGAGAGAUGAGACGCUUCCUUCAUCAAUAAAAGAAACCUAUUUGGACAUUAAUGAAGAGAGCCGGAUAGAAAGAAAAGGCUGAAGAAGGAAAUGAAAUGCGAUCAGUGAAA